Molecule: ribosomal RNA, 429 nt
Filed under: bacterium
Lineage: Bacteria
Description: partial 16S ribosomal RNA
Rfam family: Bacterial small subunit ribosomal RNA
Source: RNAcentral
UAGGGAAUCUUCGGCAAUGGGGGCAACCCUGACCGAGCAACGCCGCGUGAGUGAAGAAGGUUUUCGGAUCGUAAAGCUCUGUUGUAAGAGAAGAACGUGUGUGAGAGUGGAAAGUUCACACAGUGACGGUAACUUACCAGAAAGGGACGGCUACCUACGUGCCAGCAGCCGCGGUAAUACGUAGGUCCCGAGCGUUGUCCGGAUUUAUUGGGCGUAAAGCGAGCGCAGGCGGUUUAAUAAGUCUGAAGUUAAAGGCAGUGGCUUAACCAUUGUUCGCUUUGGAAACUGUUAAACUUGAGUGCAGAAGGGGAGAGUGGAAUUCCAUGUGUAGCGGUGAAAUGCGUAGAUAUAUGGAGGAACACCGGUGGCGAAAGCGGCUCUCUGGUCUGUAACUGACGCUGAGGCUCGAAAGCGUGGGGAGCAAACAGG